Molecule: long non-coding RNA, 3156 nt
Filed under: Lathyrus oleraceus (garden pea)
Lineage: Eukaryota; Viridiplantae; Streptophyta; Magnoliopsida; Fabales; Fabaceae
Description: Pisum sativum (pea) long non-coding RNA (PSAT_LNC010844)
Source: RNAcentral
UAAUGUUAAGAAGCUACAUAAACAUCAACAAAGUCUUUUCCUGCUUCAGCAAAUACAACUUUGUCUGUUUCUGUGUCUACGAGAAGCUUCAACAACACUGGCUCAUCUGUUUUGUCAUUAGCCAUGGAAGAGAGAAGUUGGGAGUUUGAAAUUUAAAACGCUGAUAAAAAUGUUUCUUUUGACAGUUCCAAGCAAUGCUGAUACGAUGGGUGGCACAAUGGAUUUUAACAACGUUUUUAAUGUCAAUUCUUGUGCAAUUGGUAUUUGAGUUCUUGGAAAAAUAAAAUGAUAGUGAUCACUUAUGGCUUGCCUUAAAUUGCAUUUGGAAGACCAUAAUUUAUUUAUUUUUGACUCAAUGUUGGGAGUGAGGGUACUUGUGCAUUUAACAUUUCCCCAUUCAGAUAAAUAGUGACUUUUUUUAAGGCAAAUAUGAAUAUAUAAAUAAAUAAAGGUGUCAAAAAGGAUUACAAGUGGCACAAGUUAGAUCUAAAAAUUGGUGAAAGUUUGAGUUCUGCUGAAAAAAAAAUCAUCAUAGCAAGGAGUUUAUGCCAAGGGUGUCUACCUCGCAAAAUAAGUGAGGUUGCCAGGAGAUUAACGUCUCGCAAUUCGUCGCUGCUGCAUGUUGGAGUGGGGUAUUUUUGUUAAAUGAUGUAAUUUAUUUCGAGUUAGUUUCCUUUGCAUUUAAGUUUUAUGUGAGUUUACGUUUGAAUUUGAAUUUGAAUUGAAUUUGGAUUGAAUUUGGAUGAAUAUAUAAGUCCAAAUGAAUUGCACAUGUAACAAAAUUUUGCAUUUUUGAGAAAGUUCAAAGUUAGUUACUAUUUCAUUCUUUCUUUUUAUAUGCAACUGCUCUUUAUCUUCUUCAUCUUUUUGUGCAUUGUUAAUGGAGGUUUAUUGUUGAAGUCCAACAAUUGGUAUCUAGAGCUGUGCAUUGUUAAUGGAGGUUCAUUGUUGAACUCCAACAAUUGGUAUCUAGAGCUCUGUUUUGAUUUAUAGGGAAACACUAGUGUAGCGAGGUAUGUGAUUGAUUUCGUUUUAGAAAUUCGUGUCGAAUUGAAAUUUGAAAUCAAAGAGAAUUGCAAAUCUCGAUUCUCAGGGUUUGGGAAACACGAGUGUUGGUGAGAACUGAGUGAUUUGCACAAGAGCAAAGAUGAACGACGAAAACAGUAGCUUGAACACAAAGUUUCUAGUAUUCAACGGAAAGAACCGGAAUCGAUGGUCGAUUCAGAUGUCUGUGUUGUUUAUAUCUAUUUGUAAAAAAAAACUCAAUCACUUCCAUGUAACUUGUACCAACAAAUCAUUCAUUAAACAAAACUAUAUCUAUAUGUAAGUUUUUUUCAAUCUCUUUCAUUUUGUCAUUAUUUUCUUGAUUCUUUUUCUCUUCAACCAUUUGUAUUUGGCGUUUUUGUAGAUUUUUCUCUUCAACCAUUUGCAUUUGAUGUUCUUGUAGAUUUAACUUCAACCAUUUUUUCAAAAAAUUAUGCAUCAAAUUGUUAGAUGUGAUCAAUUGACUCUUUUUCAUGCUGCGAGGUGUUGGUCAAUAUCUCCAUGUUCAACAUAUAAUAAGUUAAACAAUUAUAUAUUAAAAUAUUAAUUUAAAAAGUGUUUGAAUCACUUAAAUUCAAAUAUUAGAAAAUAACAAAUGAAAAAACUAUAAAAACUUGAAGUAAACAUGUAAGGUAUAAAAAACUAUAAAAACAUAUGGAGCAGAAUAUGAAAGCCACCAAUAAAAAUAUAUAUUAAAUACUCGAGAGAUCAAAUAAAAAAAAUAUUGUCUAAAUGAAGUAUAAACAGUUUUGUGUAUCUACUUCACUUCAGAAAUUCAAUGUUGACUUUUACUCCACAUGUGAAAGAACACUUCUACUCCACAUGUGAAAGAACACUUCCAAGUUGGUUAGUAUUGCCAUGUUAUCGCCAGGUGCUCUAACACAGUUUUAUUAACACUCGGUAUGAAAGCAUACAAGUUGUAAGUGGAGGUAAUCAAAGUCAAAAACUACUUAUAAAUGAUUUUCAAAACACAUUGAAAGGUAAUAGGGUUGUAAAUUCCAAGAGAUAGAAUAAGAGACAAAUUAAGGUAAUCAAAGUCAAAAACUACUUAUAAAUGAUUUUCAAAACACAUUGAAAGGUAAUAGGGUUGUAAAUUCCAAGAGAUAGAAUAAGAGACAAAUUUAAGGUUCCUUUCUUAUCGAAACUUACCUCCCGUCUGUUACCACCAUCACCGUCGUCGAAAUCACCAUGGAUUCACAGGUUUCACUAUAUCUCCAUUUCCUGUUUUAUUGUCUUCUAUUACAAUUGAUAAUAAGAAAAAUGUAUUUUAUCACGCAAAGUGUCAUCACUCUUUAAUUUAAUUAACACAUGACAUUCACUUAUAGUACAAUGCAAUGGACUUGCUCCAAGCACAAGUUUUUGCAUAUUCAAGUGUUUUUCUUGCUUUUAAUCCUACCAUCUAAAUGUUUUUUCAUUAUAAACUUGAGUUUAGGAAUAAAAACUUUUAUCAGUAUUUUGUCAAAAAAAGUGAGUACAUAACUAGCAUAAUAAACCAUGCAGAGGGAGCUCACUUAAUCAUCUACAAGAAAUGAAUACCAUAUCUAAAGUGUAGAAAGUCACACACCUUUAAAUUAAAUUGUUAGAGCCUAUUAUGCACCAAUAACUACUGCACAACAUCACUUAAUAUCACAUACUGCAAUACUUUCUAGAAAAUAACUAUUAACUAUUGCACCAAUAACUAUUGCACCCAAAACAAUGAAGCAACUGAUAUUCAAGUUCAACACUAUAGGUUAAUUUCCAUUCAAGCAAACAAUGAAACUCUAAAUUCAAUCUUACAUUCAAGCAAUAUAGAGAGAGGUAUGGAAAAAUACUAACCGAUUUGUGUCAAACUUGCAAAUGAAUAUAUCAUCCAUAAAGAUGUAGUCAGAUUCUAAGAAGAUGAACUAGGCGUUUGUCGGUGAACCGUCGAGCCAUUACGAGCGAAGAAGGGGAAGAUUCGCGCGAAUAGGUUUCGGGUGUUUGGGUGAGAGUUGUGCGGUUCUGGAUUCUGGUGAAAUUCCUUCGUCGUGCUUUGCGUUUUGGAGAGGUUAAAGGUUGUGAAAAUGGGUUAUUCCUUCGUCGUGCUGUGCGUUUUGGAGAGGUUAAAGGUUGUGAAAAUGGGUUAUUUAUGUU